This 26176-nucleotide long non-coding RNA is filed under the name Solanum lycopersicum (tomato). RNAcentral's name for it is "long non-coding RNA (SLYC_LNC000365)". Lineage: Eukaryota; Viridiplantae; Streptophyta; Magnoliopsida; Solanales; Solanaceae. The record is from RNAcentral.
AUUUUAAUUGUUUAUUAAAAAUUUGAAACUUAAUCAUUAAGUUACGUUUUCACAUAAAAAGAUUUAUAAUUUUAAAUUUUGCAAAAAUGACUCAUGUUUGUUUGAAAUCGAUAAAAAGGGUGGGUGUUACUGUAAUGGAUAAUUCAUUGGCUGAAUUUGAGAGAGGCAACCACCACCCUUUGGAUGAAAAAUCCUCAACUCCUCAUUCAUUCCCUUGCGAGCUUUUUGUUUUUUGCAUCUCAACUCUCGAUUACAUUUUCCUUCAUACCUAAAUAUAACAAAAAAAGCCAAGCUGAUUGAGGCUCAGAGCUCAGGCAACAAGAGAUUCCAACCAUGCCAUGGCUGCAAAAGCCACCUCCAAGAUAUGGGUUGGAUUAAUCAGCUCACAUUGGCAAAAAUCAAUUAUUCUCAGCACCAUUGCUUCCAGUGGCAACAAUCAAUGAUCCAGCGGAAGCAUUAAAAAGGAGAUGGAAAAAAGACUUGGAAACCCAUUUACUUCCUCUGUUUAGUGAGAGGUUUGUUGGGAUUCUUACAAUAAUGGAGAAAUCAUUGACUGGAUGAAUGCAGAGAGAGGCAACCACCCUUUCAACGAAAAUCCCUGUUAGCCUCAUUCUUAUAGUACCCUGAGGCUGGUAAUACUACCCCUCAGUUUAAAUUGACGAAGAGAAGCUCAGAUCUGUGUUGAACAAGAGUAUAAAGAGAGUCCAACCACGCCAUGGCUGCAAAAACCAGCAUGCCCCGCCAAGAUACAGGUCGGAUAACCUCCAAUGCUCAAUUAAUCAGCUCAGAAGGGAAUAAAAGUUACAAAAAUCAUCAUCGCCUCUUCCUAGCCAUCCGAAGCAAUAAAAUCAACUGUUAGAGGAAAUAUAAUUGAAGAAGAAGAUGGAUUUAAGGCGUGAAGAAUCGCUUUCCUUAAAAGAGAUAUUGCACGUGUACAUAUUGGGAAAAUACUAGCAACUGCCUUCAAGAUACAACAAAGUCCUUAUAUAUACAUGCAUAUUUUUCUCUUUGGCCUACUUCUGGAGAGUGUUUAUAUUUAUAAACCUUAAGAGAUCGACUUUUCAUAACAGUCAUGAACAAAAAAUGUAUCUGUUCAAUUUAAGGCCUCUAUAUAUUGCAAAAUAUCCAACAACAUACCCAGUAUAGUUUCAUUUUUCUCUUUUUGCAAAUUAUAUCAAAAACAACUUUUCUCCAACUCCAAAUAAGUUACUUUUAUACCAAUUUUUCCAACUGAACAUAUGGUCUCACUUGGCUAUAGAAGUUGUGAACAUUAUCAGCAAAAAACAGUAAAGAGAUUUCACUUUUGUUUGAAUCUCUAUGUUGCACCGGCCAUCUCUGUCUUUCUCUGCUUAGAUACCAAGCUUCAUAAUUCAAAUCUGUGGCAUGCAUCGUACUCACCAACUGUUGCACUCUUAUCCCUAAACAAAAGGGAUAUUUCAAACUGGCAACAUGCACCCCUAUUACACAUCAAUUGUUGUACUAAUGCUGCAGGACCAAAGCCUCUAAGCCAUGGGUGGGAUGUAUUCAUAAAAACAGUAAAGGUUUAUGGUUGAACACAUUUGAAACAACAAAGAGGAACUUUUCAAAUAUAUAAUCGUCCAAUCAAGAGUGAUGGAUAGUGUAGCCAAGUGAGAAACAGCUGGUUACAACCAUAUAUUAGCUCAUCAACUAGAAUUGUUCCAAGCUUGUCCAAGUAUGAUAUUGGCAACAGGGAAAAAGAGGAGAUCAACAAAGACAGAGCCCCUUGGCAAAGUUGCCUUGUUUUGCAAUUCUUUUUUGCAUAUAUCAAACAAUUACCUAUUUUCAAACUUAAAUACAUAAAAAUACAACUACUAUAACAAUAUUUUUAGGUUAGUAGUGACAACAUAGAGCUAAAUAGAGGCCUCAUCUAUCAGAGUAACUAUGACAUAAAGCGUCAUUUGGAUGUUAAUCCAUGGCUUACUUGAGUUACUCAUCAUUUAGGAUGAAUUGCUACAUGAACAGCAUAAACAAAUUGAUUGAAGGAGAUCAGUAUGAAUUAUCAAGACUACUAACAAGUAUGCUUUCUUGUGAAGAUCAUUAUCAAUGAAAGAGAAACCCUAAAAGAUAAUACAUAGCAAAAACAAGAAACUCACGCAGUGAAACUUCUUUUAGAUAAGUAAUUGUGACAAGAUAGUGCUAAUAGAGGUCUCAUCUAUCAGAGUAACUAUGACAAAAGAAGCUUCAUUUGGAUGUUAACCCAUGGCUUACUGGAAUUACUCAUCAUUUAGGAUGAAAUAUUUCAGGCAUAAAAGUAAACAAAUUGAAUAGAAGGAUAACUCCUAACAUAAUACAUAACAUAGAACAGAAAGUAUCACAUCUUGUACAGAUAAUACAUAAGCAGGAACAAGAACCUGACAAAAUGAAGCAUAAAAUCAACUAGUGAAACUUUCUUCAGUAGUCUAGUCAAUAGAGGUCAUCUAUCAGAGUAACUAUGACAAAAAGCUUCAUUUGGAUGUUAAUCCAUGGCUCGCUUAAAUUACUCAUCAUUUAGGAUUGAGUUCCCUUCAUGCACAGAAUAGACUAGAACUAUUGACUUUCGGUUUUGGUAAUUAGGUCAAUCACUAGUGUUUCCAAAAAAGACCACGGAAAAAAUCUCAAGAAUUAGUGGUAUCCACAAAGCAAGCAACAACUGCAAAAUUUGCAUAAACUAUAAAAAUGAUCUUACUCCCAUAUAAUUUAUAAAUACACUGUCCUGCUCAAAAAAGAUUUAUGAUUUGGCUUAUAUUCUAACAACACAAACUGUAGUGCUCCUGCAUAAAUUGAUGCAUGUUAAAAAAUGAACAAUUGACGAAAUUAUGAACUUUCACCUAUAAGAAAACUAAAGCAUAUCAGCAACAAAGUAACUCAAAAAUACAUGUUAGUACUCAAAUGCCUAGGUUUCUAGACAAAGUGAAACACAUUUGGGCACAGGCUUUGUGAUUACUAUACAGAGUUCAUAAACAGAGAAAACAAGGGAUGACAUUAAGGCACACUUAUCUCAGAGAAAGAGCUUUCCUAUUCAUCAUAAUUGAAAAAAAAAUAGUUUCAUGUAUCAAAAAGGAACAUAUUUAUCAAAAGAAAGAAACUCAAAAAUAGGAGUUAACAUUCCUAAGUUCCUAGUCUAACAUUUUUAGGCACAGUCGUAUCCAAGAAGCACCUUUAGGAACACCUAUUUUUUAUCUGAGAAUUGAUAGCAAAAGAACCCAUGGGCUGUCAAACUCAGGAAUUCAUUUCCUGAGCCCAAAAAACUUAUUCUUUUAAAGAAAUCAAGCAACAAGGUAGGUAAGCUUUUAGUUGUUGGAGAAUUAUGAGACAGAAAAGGAAGACAAAAAUGGAUCUUCCUCCUCCACUUUUCAGACUCAUCUGGAGCUGCCACACCAAGAUAGAGUCAUUCUAGCUCAAUGAGUUUAUAUGUCUGUUUCAUCUUCCAAAGAAGACAAGAAACUUUAAUUCUUCAUUGCCUCCUUGAACAUAAUUUGAGACGUAGGAAGUAGCAACCAAAAAAAAACAUAGGGUGUAACAAAUGGAAGGGUGUUUUUUGUAAUCAUUUGAGUGAUCAUCGGCAUCAAAGAGUAACAGAGAGCGGCAAACCACCCAUUGGAACUCCCUAAAGCUCUCUGCUUUUACACAGCCUCAGACUCAAACUAAUGAGAUAAGGCUCAGAUUCGCCUUUUCUCAGACAAAACCAAAAAGCUUUUAAAAAGACAGCGUCAUGGCUGCAAUCUUCAGUUAGAUUUAUGAGACAGAAAAGAAUACUUUCUCCUCCAUUCUCACCAGACCCAUCUGAACUGCCACGCCAAGAUACAAUUUUUUUCCAGCUCAAUGGAAAUAUAUGUCUGAUUCAUCUUCCAAAGAAGACAAAUUCUUUCAAAUCUUCAUAGCCUGACAGAUUGGGACUGAGGGGUAACAGCAAUUGGGAACAAAGGAAGGUCUAGUGGAAGUUCACCAAAAGGGUGGUUUUUUGCAAUCAUUUUGAGUGAUCAUCGGCAGCAGAGAAUAACAGAGUGGCAAAACCACCCAUUGAAACUCCCUAAUCCUCUGUGCUUUCACCGCCGCCUCAUACUUAAACUAAUGAGAUUUGUGCUAUUUUCAUGUCAAUGCUGCUUCUUAUAUUGUGCCCUAAUCAAUUGGGCCUUACUUGAAAAGCCCAUCUCGUCGGGUCGAAUUCAAUUGACCACAAUUGGAGGAAGAAGAUUAGGGCUUGUAGCCGUUGAUUAUACUCACCAGUCACCAGCAACGGCAACACUGAAUUUUCCGGUGGAAACAUAAAGAAAAAAGAUCAUAUUUGUGCAAAUUUCUGUAUGAAAAAAGAACAGUUCCAAAUUUCCAGAAGAAAGGGUUGUUUGGAAUUGUCACAGAGAGAAGCAAACCACCCUUCAAUGAAAAAUCCUUAAACUCUCUGUAAGCCUGAUUCUCUCCCUUCUGAGCUUUUUUUGCUUUCUUCAAUUAUCAAAAAGAGCUGGUUUUUGAUCGACUCUCCAUUCAAGUAAAGGAGAAUCAAUACUAUAAAAUAUUGGGAAGAAAAAAUAUUUUUAACAAGACAAAGAUUACAUUAUACUGUAUUAUUUUGAUGAAACACAAUAUUAAAUUUAGAAUGCCAUGCACCAACAAUACAAAGAAUAAAAACACAAGAUAACAGGUAAGAGUAAUUACAACAAAAGUAAAGCCUAAAAUGGGAUAUUACAAGUUCAAGCCCAAGAAAGUAUGCUCUUUGAUCCACCACUACUACUGACCGAGCUCAAAGUAGCUGUUACAAGUCAAACACUAUGAACUUGGAAAACAUAAUUAACAAAAAAAAAAAGUGAUCUAUCCACUGUUACUAUCCGCUUUUAGGUCCACGACUAUUAUCGACUCAAUCCCAAAGUAGGAAAAUAACAGACUAAAGCGAGGAGUUCAUUAGCCAUACAUAGUUAAGGAGGAGACAUUCCCCAUGCUGCGGUUCGGAAAGGUCUUCCCAAGCAGGUCACUGGGAGCUAAGACAGGCCAAUGUUUGACUCGUUGUCAAACUCAACGCAGAUAAGGGCAGACAGCAAAAUGGGGCAUCCAUCGGCAGAAGAGAUGUGAAAAAUCAACAAAACUAAAAGUAUAUGAGCAAUAUUUAUGACCAGAAAGAAUAUGUAAAUGAAAAAUAGCAACUCCUUUUGCCAUCUUGCAAAAAGGGAAAAGUAACAAAGAAAGGAAUUGUGAAUUACUGGUACUUAAUACAAGACUCAGAUCAGUUUAUCACAGCUUCCAUGGCUGCAACCUAGAGCAGGUUGCCCUGCGAAGUUGCUGAGUCUUAUCAUCUCAAUGCAAACAAAUAUUGCUAUUUGUCAAAAAAACAUAUCAUCACUGCCUCGAUUUUUCACUUCUUUUUUAUUGGAGCGUGAUUCUCGCUGUUUAUGUGUUAAUGCAGCCACAAAGCAGCACGGUGAGAACCAAUAGCAGUAAAAGAUAAUUAUUUAUGUGCAUCUUCUCAAGCUAGAGUUACAAGAAAGAGCUAGCCGCUGUUACUUACUUCCAGCAAGAUUUCACAUCUUGGCCUUACCAGCAAAACCGAAUCAAAAAAUAAAUUAUUCACAUUUCUCAUCAAUGAUGUCUCAUUUAACGAUUUCCCCAUCAAACAAUGUCCAGAAGAAUUACUGGCAAUUUUGACACUCGCAGCUGGCUACUAAUGAAUGGUCAAAGAGAGAGAGGAGACAACGCCAUAGCUGCAAAAGAACCAGUUGCAUGUGAUCGAGGAGUCUCAAAUCACAUACCAUCAUGGGUUUUUGCCAAGCCAAGAUACAGAUCUACUUGUCUGUAAACCCGAACAACCUUUUUUUAAGCCAAGAUAAGCAAAUAUCAUCUGCUUCGUUGAUUCUGGUAGCAUAGGAUUCGGGGAAUUUGAGAUGCUUUGGACCUGAGCUCAUAAAUCAGAAUGAGGUCCAACUACUGCUGCUGCUGCUGCUGAUGUUAAUGCUCCCUCUGUUUUCUAUAGUGAAGAAAGGAAAAGGACUAGAAGAGGGCUGUUGGUUUUGGUAAUGGAGAAAUGAUGCAAGAGGCUCAGAUUAUGUCUUCGGGCUUUGAGUUCUUUGUGCCCAGCCAUAGCUGCAAAUUUCCAGAAAUUCAGAUUGCCCCGCCACAGCAGCUACAGAACUCUUAUGCCCGACUCAAAGAGCUCAGCAAAACUAUCAUCAUAGCCUCAUUGUUUCCUCUUGCUGGCAUUAUGAACAUGUACUCUGUUUGCAUUGCAUUGAAACAGAGCCAGUGAGGACCGACAACCGAAACAUAUGCACAAUGCAUUAGAUACACAAGAAAUAUGCAUAUGCAUAAACAGUCGUCUAGUUAAAAAUAAAAGCAAAAAUAAGUCAGCAGAAUGUCAGAGAUGGCCAUCCACACGGAGAAGUUCAACACAAAGAGAAAUCACCAGAACGUCUGAGAUGGUCAUCCACACAGAGUAUCAUCUCUCACAGUAUUAUUAUUGUUUAUUUAUUUUCUUGUAUAUUUCGAAGUGCUGUUGGUCUUUUUGGUUAUCAAUGGAGAAAUCAUGGGCAGAGAGAGGGCAACCACCCUUUGCAGAAAAUCCCAAUCUCUCUGAUGCCUCGUUCUUCUUUCAUUCUAGGCUAUGCUUUGCUGAUACCGAACAAACAAGAUUAUACAGCAAGAUGAUUUAUAGCUUUUAGUAGAAAAUCGCAGGUUCAACAUAUCUCAAAAUUGAACCAUGGAAAUAUUCUUUCCCUAUCUUUCUUUUCAAGCAAAUGGGACUCAGAUGUAUGUUAUGACAAAAGCGAAACAUAAGCCAAUCACCGGUUGCAUGCAAGAGACACAAGCAGCAAUCACAAGCCAUACCGGGUCACCACACCAAGAUACAGAUUGGAUAAUCUCAAUGCACAAAUUGGUUAGGUGUUAACUUUUGGAAAACUUCAAGGACCAAAAUUGUUAAGUGCAUAUUUAAGGGACUAUUUUGGACAUACCCUCAAACAUAAAGAGAUUUGUCAUUUUCUCCCUAAUUCUGAAUUCAGAGCCGAAAUUUCAACACACGCAAUAGGUUUUCCAACCAGGGAAUAGACUCACCAUGGAAGAUCAUGAAAUGGGUUAUUCAGGGCUCAGAUUUGUUGUAUUUCUUAACAAAGAAAAGAGAAGAACGCCACAGCCAUGGAUGCAGACACCAGUUUGCUAUUCAAAGCCAUAACCGGGUCGCCCAGCUAAGAUGCAGGUUUUUCUCAAUGCUAUAUUGAACACAGCUUCAUAGCCCAAAAAGGAAAGUAAGCAAUCAUCAUAGCCCCCUUUACAACACCAGCAGCAGCAACAGCAUCACAAGAAGACGAGAGGAAGAACAACAAGAGUACAGAGGUGUGUUUGGAUGACAUUUUUUUCCCUUUUGUUUAUUUAAAAGGGCUGUUAUUUUUUGGUUAUCAAUGGAAAAAUCACUGGCAAAGCAGAGACGGGCAACCACCCUUUUACAGAAAAUCCCAAUUUCUCUGAUGCUUCAUUCUUCAAAGCUGAAAUUUCAUUUGAGGGCUCAGAAUUGCUAUAUCUGAACAAAGCAAAAGAGAGAAGUGAUGCCGCCAUGGAUGCAGACACCAGUUUGCUAUUCAAAGCCAUAACUGGGUCGCCCUGACGUCUACUGAAGCAUCUCUUGCUGCCCUAAACUGGCAACUGGGCUACAAAGAACCAUAUUAUCCUGCCUCAAUUUUCUAGUAUGAUUUUCUCUGUUGGUGUUCACACAGCCAUGUAGCAGCAAGAAAAGAGAACCAUCAGUAGCAGAACUGACUGAAUGAACAACUAAAUAAAUAAAUAAAUAAACAAUUCCCAUUUCUCAUUGAUGCCUCAUUUAUGAGCUGGCUUUCAAAAUAAGUGAAAACGGGUUUUCACCAAACAAUGUCCACAACUACUUGCAAUUUGAGGCUCAGAUCUGGGCUAUUAAUGGGGAAAAGAGAAAGAGACCACGCCAUGGCUGCAAAUAUCACGAAGCAACUGCAGUUCACCAAGCCAAGAUACGGGUCUGAUUGUCUUUAUCCUGAAGCCAGAUGAGCAAAUAUCAUACUGCCACUUUGAGAAAAUGGCUGCAUAAUUUCAAGAAAUUAGGAUACUUCGGAUUAAGCCUUAUUAACCAGAUUGAGGUCCAAGUACUACUACUACUAGCACUGUUAAUGCUUUGCUUAAAACUGGAGGCUCAGAUGUGUAUCUGGGGCAUUGAGUUUUCUGGCACCUGCCAUGGCUGCAACUCACAGAUAUUCAAGUUGCCAUGCCAAGAUACAGGCAACAAAAAUCUAAUGCACGAUUAUGUUUAGCUCAGCAUAGUGCAGACACUAUCAUCACAGCCCAAUUGUUUCCCUUUCCGAGUCCAUUGCUUUGGAACACAACCAGUGAGGACAAAGCUAAGAUGCUUGAAUUAAUAAGCACAAAUCCACAUGUACAAAUGCAGAAAUAUACAUAAACAAGGGUUCUCAGGUUUAGAGCAUAAAAAAAAUCAUUGGCAUGUUAAAGAUGGUCAUCCACAUCGAGAAUCCUUUGUGGUGGUGUAGUUGGUUAUCACGUCAUUCUUAACACAUAAAACUAAAGAAUACCAAUUCCAGAGUAAAUUACCAUUGAAAACUAUCAACGGUCGCAUAAAGAGGGUGUUAUUGAUCUCUCUCCGUCAAAGAAGGUCUCGUGUUCUAUUCCCAGGUUGUAAGGAAGGAAAUUUGGAAAAUGAGGCUCAGUCUCAAUUUUCUAUUGGGGUAAAGAUAAGGCAACCAUGCCAUGGAUGCAAAAUAACCAAUUGGAUUGUGAAAGAGAAGCCUAAAAUCACAGCCCUUGUUGGUGUUUGCCAAGCCAAGAUACAGGUCAGGAUGUCUCUAUGCCCAAAAGGAAAUGAGCACGGAAUUUAAAGUGGCCUCAAAAAAAGACCAUUUUUGUAAAUGCCGAUAAACAAUAAUCAUCACAGCCUCUUUCAGAUGAAGUUCACUCUUCCAUGGAUUUUAAGAAAUUGUAGAAAUUUUUGGACUAAAGAAUUCAAUAAUGCCUAAUGGCGAAGGCGCCAGAAUUUGCUGGGUUUCCUCGAGCUAAGGAAGAAUAAGAGGGUUGUUAGUUUUGUUAGUUAAGAAAUCAUAGGCCAAACAGAGGGGACACUGCCCUCCUAGAAGUCCCUUUUGCCCCAGUUGGCCUCAUCUUCCUUCUGGGCUCAAUCUCCAUUAUUACUUUUGUCGAGGAAAAAGCUUGUAGUUAUGCAACGUACUAAUAUCUAGAUUCUCUUUAGCCCUUCUUGCAGAGAUGUACCAUGCUAUUAUUUGUGGCUAUUUCGCUCGGAUUCAAAAACAUUGAAGGGUGUGUCGGAUACUCCAAAAAUAGUGUAUUUUCGGAGAAUCCAACAUGAGUGCAACGACAUUUUUGGAGAAUCCGAAGCAAUAGUAACAGCAGAAGCACAACGAGACAGAGGAAGAGCAAGAAGAAUAUAGAGGGGGUGUUUGGAAUUUGGAUGAAGUUUUUCAAUUUGCUUUCUUUUUGUUUAUUUGAGAAAGGGUUGUUGGGUUUUUUGGUCCAUUAAUGGAGAAGUCACUGGCACAGCAGAGAUUGGCAACCACCCUUCACAGAAAAUCCCAAUUUCUUCAACGCCUCAUUCUUCAAAGUUGCAAUUUCAAAGCAAACCAAAAAAAUGAUUUUCUACCCGAAUGGGUUAUUGAGGGCUCAGAUUUGCUGUAUUUGGACAAAGCAAAAGAGAAGAGCGACACCACCAUGGCUGCAGACACCAGUUAUCUAUUCAAAGCCCUAACCAGGUUGCCCUGCCAAGAUGCAGGUCGGAUAUUUUCUCAAUUUCCAUGAUUGAACAUAGCUCAGAAAGGAAGCAAUCAAUCAUUAUAGCCCCUUCAAAACAUUAUCAGCACAAAGAGAGGAGAAAGAGGAAGAGUAGUAUAGGGUGUGUUUGGUAUAAAGUUUUUAUUGUUGUUGUUGUUUAAUUCAAAGGGCUGUUGGGUUUUUUUGGUCCAUUUAUGGGGAAAUCACUGGCAACGCAGAGAUGGGCAACCACCCUUUACAGAAAUCCCAUUCUCUGACGCCUCAUUCUUCAGAGUUGAAAUUUCAUUGGAAAUCCGUAAUGGAUUUUCCGACCCGAAUGGGUUGGGGUAAAGGCUGCACAGACACCAUCUUCCCCCACACCACUUCCGGAUAUGUUGUUGUAGUAAUGGGUUAUUGAGGGCUCAGAUUUGCUGUACUUGAACAAGAGAAGAGUGACGCCGCCAUGGCUGCAGACACCAGUUUGCUCUUCAAAGCCUAACCAGGUCGCCAUGCCAAGAUACGGUAGGAUAUUUUCUCAAUUACCAUGAUUGAAUAUAACCCAGAAAAGAAGCAACAAUCAUCAUAGCCCCUUCACAACAUUAGCAGCACAAAGAGAGAAGAAAGAGGAAGAGCAAGAAGAGUAUAAGGUUGUGUUUGGUAUGAAGGUUUUUUGUUUUUUCUUGUUUAUUUCGAAGGGCUGUUGGUUUUUAUGGUCCAUUAACGGAGAAUUCACUGGCAUAGCAGAGAGGGGCAACCACCCUUUCAGAAAGUCCCAAUUUCUCAGAUGCCUCAUUCUUCUUCCUUUCUAGGCUAUGCUCAACUUAGCUUUUGUUUGCCAAGAACAAUAUCAUCACUGCCUCAAUUUCACAUUUUUCUAGUAUGAUUCUUGCUGUUUAGGUGUUCAUGCAGCCAUGCAGAAGCAAAAAAACGUGGGCUUACUACCAACACUGAAUGAAUGAAUAAUAAAUAAAAAGUUUGUGUUUCUCAUGAUGCCUCAUUGAGCUGGCUUUUAAAUAAGUGAAAUGGAUUUGGUUUCCACCAAACAAAUGUCUAGAACUACUUGCAAAUUUGUGGCUCAGAUCUGACCUAUUAAAGGGAGCAGAGAAAGAGAGCACGCCGCAGCUGCAAAAGUACCGGUUGCAUGUGAAAGAGAGGCCUUAAAUCACAUAGCAACUGGGGUUUGCCAAGGCAAGAUACGGGUCUGAUUGUCUUUAUUCCCAAAGCUCAGAUAAGCAAAUAUUAUCACUGCCGCUCCGAGAAAAUGGUUGCACAAUUUUCAAGAUAUUAGGAUAAUUUGAAUUAAGCUCAUAAAUCAGACAGAGGGCCCAAGUACUACUAUUACUAUGUUAAUGCUUUGCUCUCAGCUGGAGGCUCAGACUUGUAUCUGGAGCACUGGAAUUCCUGGAAACCUGCCAUGCCUACAAACAAAUACAGAUAUUCAAGUUGUCAUGCCAAGAUACAGGUUACAAAAAUCUAAUGCCUGUUGUAAUUUAGCUCCCUUUUUGAGAUCAUUGCUUUGGAACAGCCAGUGAAGACAAAUCACGACAACUGAGACAUAGACAUCUAAAUAUAUUUAUAUGCAGAAACAUUACAUAAAAGGUUGCCUGGUUUAGAGUGAAAAGAAAGCACCUGCAUGUCGAAGAUGCUUAUCCACUCUGAGAAUCAUCUGAUCCCCUAAAGCCUCAUUCAUUGAGCAGAAAUAAAGUUGUAGUUGGUUAUCACGUCAGUCUAACACAUAAAACUGAAGAACCCCAAAUCCAGAGAACGACCUUCAAUUGAAGACCCAAUCGAUGGUUGCACUAAAAUGAUGUUGUUAUCUCCUGUGAAAAGAAUUCCAGAGACUUACCACAUCAAGAGAAGGGAAAAUCCAACUUCUCUUUGAAACGAGGCAAAAUGAGUUUCCAUUAAAGAAGGUUGCGUGUUAGAUUACCAGGUCAGCGGGUCAUCAAAAGGAAAUUUAGAAAAUGAGGCUCAGAUCUCAGUUUCUGACGAGGCAAAGAGAAGACGACCAAGCCAUGGCUGCAAUCGAAUCAAUUGCAUGUGAAAGAGAAACCUCCAAUCACAGACCAUUCCGGUGUUUGCCAAGCCAAGAUACGGGCGGGAUGCCUCAAUGCCUGGAUGGAAAUGAGGAAAAAUUUAAAAUAGCGGUCCUAGAAAAUUGUCGUAAAUGGCCCAAUUAACAAGUAUCAGCACUGCCUCUUUCAGGAAAUGGCCUAAAUGACCCAUUUUCUCAAAGUUUGGUCAUUGGUGGCAUAUUUGAGUCUUCUCCUAUUAAAAAAUGAUUUAAUAAAUGAUAUGGCUGAAUACUAAUUGACCACGUGUAAUAAAUGGUUUUGCAAAACCAAAACUUUUUUCAAUUAACAUAGAAUGGCAUGGAUGAGCCUUUUCGUAAACGGAAAUGGCAGAGAUGAGCCAAACUUUUAAUGGAUAGCACAAAUGAGUCUUUUCUCAAAGUUCAAUGACAUAUUUGAUCCUUUUCCCUUUUUUAAAAAAGAGAAAGUUACCACACCAUGAUAAGCCCUAAUAAUAGUUUCCCAAUUGAUAAGACAAAGUGAGGCUCAGAUCAGUGUUAAGCUCGGGCAACAAGAGAGUCCAACAACAUCAUGGCUGCAACAACCACCAGAAAGUCUGGGAGCAUGCCCCGCCAAGAUACAGGCCGGAUGGUCUCAAAUGCCUGAUUAAUCAGCUCAGAAGGAUAUUAAAAAUUGACAAAAUCAUCAUUGCCUCUUUCAAGCCACGGGUUAUCCACAACAACACAGCUUCCAACACCAGCAUUCAAUGCUCCGGCAGAAGCAUUAGAGAAAAGAGAUGGCAUAGCAUGAAAGGGUAUAUAGAAACCAUUUGUAAUGAUAUGUAAACAACCAUCCAAACAAAUUGUUAAUAUUACUCCCUUCAUUAAAAUUGAUAAAAGGGUUGUUGGGGACUUGGCGUUCUUACAGUAAUGGAGAAAUCAUUGCCUGAUGCAGAGAGAGGCAACCACCCUUUCAAUGAAAAAUCCCAAAACUCUCUGUAGCCUCAUUCUUUCCCUUCGAAGCUUUUGCUUUGUUCAUUUAACUAAACCGAUGGAGAAAGUGAGGCUCAAAUCUUUGUCUUCCCUUUAGAAUGUCUCUUUCCUUUUUUGGCAACAUUUGACUUCUAACUUUCCACGUGACGCCUUUAAACCCACAAUAUUAAAAGGCAUCUAGGAACAUUCUACAUAUCUUAAGAUAAAGAUCUCCGGGUUGCCCCCGCUUAGAUACGGAUCCAAUUGCUCUACCGCACUAUUGAUUUGCUCAAAGGAAGAAGACAAUCUUCAUCACGGCUUCAGAAUUUUUUAAACAAUUAUUAUUAUAACUGGGUGUGAGAAUUUGGAGAGAACAAGCAAAGACUUAAGCGUCAUUUGGUCUCUGUUUAACUGCAACAAGAGCUGUUGAGUUUUUCUUUUUUCACAGCAACACUGAAAUCAAAAUCACAGUUAUUGCAGAGAGGAGCGACAGCCCUUUGAAGGGUUCCCCUCUACUCUCUCCAACCCUCAUUAUUCGUCUCUGAGCUAAGCUUUUUUUCCUUUAAAAGAGAAAUUCUCAUGUGUUUUUCGACCUGCGAAUUUCACAGCUGCAAUAACAACAACCCAGCGUUAUCUCACUCCUACCUUGUGGAGUUAACUAGAUUGUUUCCAAUACUGUACAAAUGAAACAUUGAGGCUCAGAUUUGUAAUACUUACAACAUGGCAAGAGAGACUGGAAUCACCGCCAGGGCUGCAAGCACCGGUUGCAAGGUAACCUGCCAUCCAGGUAGCCCGCCAAGAUAUGGGUCCAUUUCUUUCCUGUACUAUUGAUUUGCUCAGAGAAAGAAUAAAAUCAUCAUCAUAGCCUCAUAAUUUUCGCAACAACCAUUACUACUACUACUGAUUAUCCCUUUAAAGUUGAGAAAUUGGAGAGAACAAGCAUAUUGCUGUUUAACUGCAGAAGGGCUAUUAAAGAUUCUUUUUUUCACAACAAAAAUGAAAUCACAGGUAUUGCAGAGAGGAGCAACAGCCCUUUGAACUUUCCCUCUACUCUCCGCAACCCUCAUUUCCGUCUAUGACCUUUAACUUUUCUGGACUAAGCUUUAUUUCCUUUUAUGGGAAAUUUCACAGCUGCAUUUUAAAGAAAAACCAAUAAAGCUCAGAUCUGUAUUACUCACAAUACAGCAAAGAGAGCCUCAAAUCACCGCCAUGGCUGCAACCACCGGUUUCUAGGUCACCUUCUAUCCGGGUUGCCCCGCCAAGAUACGGGUCCGAAUGCUCUCCUGCACUAUCCAUUUGCUCAUCAGAGAAAAAAAAAACAGAGUACAUCAUCAUCACAGCCUCAGUUUUUCGCAACAAUUAUUAUUAUUAUUAUUAUUAUUAUUACUGUAUGAUUCUAGCAAAGGUGUCGUUAGGUCGGUAUUUAGCUGCAAAAAUGCUGCUGAAAUUAUCAUUUUUUCACAGCAAAAAUUGAAAUCACAGGCAUUGCAGAGAGGAAGCAGCACAGCCCUUUGAAGUUUUGUCUUCCACUCUCUGCAAAUCCUCAUUCUCUUUUCUCUGAGCUUUUUGGAUUUCUACUGUAACACCAUCUCCAACCAAAUCCUAUUUUAGUGUUGUGGACUUUCAACCCUUAUUAUGUUUUAUUACAUUUACACUAUUUAGACAUUGUAUCUGAGAUUAUAUUGUAUUAUUAAUUUAAAUAUAAUUAUUUUAUAUUUAUUAAUUAAUUAAAUUCAUCGUUAUAUAAAUAAUAAAAAAUCUAUUUUGCGUAACUAUCAUUUAUAUGAUAGUGUCUUUAUCUUAACAUUUUUUUUUAUUUUGUCUUUUACUUAUUAUUAAAAUAAUUUUAUUUUAUCGUUAUCAUAUAUUUUUAUAGCAAUUUAAUCUUGUACUCUAUAAUAUUUUUUUAAAUUUAUCAUUCAAAUUGUUUUAAAUAAUAAUAAAAAACAAUAUAAUUUAUUUAAAUAUUAUAUAAUAUAUAUUAAAAUAAUAUACUACAUUAUGAUACAAUACCAUGCAACAAAAUAAUAAGUAUUAAAUCAUGAUUCAUCUAUACUAUAUAUUUUUCACUUAUUAUUAUUAUUUGUAUUAUAUAAUAUUUUCAAAAAUAUAAAUAACAAUAUAAUAUUAAAAAGAGAAGAGUAUACUUAGAGACAAUAAAUAUUACUUUACUUUUUAGGGUAAAAUUUAAUGAAGAGAAUAGGAAGAUAAGCAACAUUACACCUUUAUUUGGAUGGUUAUAGUCUGAGAUAUUAUUAGUUUAAAUAUAAUAUUUAUUGAGAUUAUUAAUUUUAUAUUAUAUAACAUAAUAUAAUAUAAUAUAAUAUAUUAUAAAAUAAAUUCUUAUUCUUUUACCUUUUUUUUUGUGUGUUUUUAAAAAAAAUGAAAUAUUUCUUUUUCUUAUCACUUUAAUUUUAAUUUUUACAUGAAAUAUUUAACAUUACAAAGUUAAAAAUCGUUUUAAUAUAUUUGACAUAACUUUAAUUUAAAAUAACAAAAUUAAAUUUAUUUUUUUUUAAUCUUCAUUCCAAGUCAAAAGUCAUCCUUUUUUUUUUUUGAAGGAAGGUGGUAAUAAUCAUCUAAAAACAAAGUGGUCAUGGCUCGUGUGUGAUUGUUUUGAAAUUAGUUAUUUUGAAAUUGUUAUCCUACUUUUCAUAUGAAAUGUAAUAAUUAUUAUAGUUCCAAAGCAAUUUAUUUGCAAUUUGAUUUGAAUCCAACAUUUUGGUUAAGAAUUAACAGGUAAGUGAAGUGUUGAUUUAUUUCAAAGGUUAGACUUGUUGAUAUUUAUGGUUCAUAUUAACUAUAGUAGUUGUUCAGAUUAUAAGCAAAUUUUGGCUCGUGAUUUGCUAAGCCAAGUUAAUCUUCAUCAUCUCAACCCAGUUUUCUGGGAAUCCGAAGAGAUCACGGCCUCAAAUUUUAUGGAUUAAAAAUGAGAAAAUACAAACAAACAAAGACGAGUUUUGAAUGAAAUAUCAAUUUCCAGCAGAAGUUUUGUAUGAAUCCAAAAGUUAUUCAUUAUGAAUUUAGAGGCUCAGAUCUGCAAAAGAAAUCGAGGUAGAAGAGAGCCGACCACGCCAUGGCUGCAAAAUUUGCCAAGCCAAGAUACGGGUCGUAUAAUCUUCAUACCCGACCCGAUUAGCCCAGAAUCCAAAGAAAUCAUUAUCUUCAUCAUCGCCUCUCAUUAUUUGGAUAAAAAAAAACACAGAAGAAACAGAGUUUGUAACCAUAGUUGUUGAAGUUGAAGAAAAGGUUUAAUUUUCCAUGUUCAAUAAUUCAGUCAUUUCCCAGAAACACAUGCAUGUGUCCAAAAGGCUCAGAUCUGCAAAGAGAUCGGAACAAAGAGAGAGACGACCACGCCAUGGCUGCAAAAUUUGCCAAGCCAAGAUACGAGUCGCAUAAUCUCCAAGCCCGAUCCGGUUAGCCCAUCAUCAUCAUCAUCACAGCCUCAAUAGAUCAAACACCAACAAAGAGUGAGUAAUUAAUUAACAAAAAAGAGAAUGGCAUAGAUGUAGAAUUGGAAAGUUGAGGAAUAUAUGUAUGUUUGUUGUAUGUAUGUAUGUAUGGCAUGCAUGUUCCAAUAAUUCCCAGGAAAUUAACAUGAAUUCAAGGGUUGUUGCUUCAUCUCUAAAAGAAUCAUUCAUAGGCUAAACAAGAGAGGGGCAACCACCCUUGUUAAUAAAAUCCAAAAACUCUCUGUUUUGCCUCUUUUUUCUUUUCUGGGCUAACCUUUUCUUUGCUUCUUUUCCACCUUUAACUUUUGCCUUUUUUAUAACCCACUCUUGAAUAAAUUUAUCAUUUUUCUGUAUGUCUAAUGGAUAAUACUUUAUUUGAAAAUGUAAAAGCACAAACAACUUGUCAUUCUUAUCCAUUUCUCCUUGAAACAGAAUUUACGAAAAUAAAAAAAAUUUAAUAUCGUAAUUUCAAAUUAAAUUAUAUUAAAUAUAACAAAAUAUUCAUUAAUCUUAUAAUUUUGAACAUGCUACGUAAAAAUUAAAACUAAAAUAAGCAUCAUUUUUUUUAAAUGGAUAAAGUAUUUAAUUUAUAGCAUUAUUUAAAGUACUGAUGAAAAAUCUCUCACUUUGUAUAACAGUUAAUUUGAUAUAAUCAUUUUAUUAUUUUCUUCUCAAUUUAUCUCACUUAUUAUUUGGUAAAUUCUGUUUUCAUAGAAGCUCUAUGUCAUCACCUAUUUUCUUCAUUCGUUAUUGAUAUGUGAAAUUAUAUAACAAUAAAUAAUAUAAUUAUCUGGUUAUUGUAUUCAUUAUGUUAUACUUGCUUCGUUUAUUUUUAGUUGUUAUUUAUUUUUAAAAUAAAUUUUCAUUUUUAUUUAUUACUUUUGAUAUUUCAAGAAAAGGGAACAACUUUUUUUUGUGUUUUAAUCUCAACAUUAGAAAUAUAUUUUAUAAAAUUAUUUUUCAAAACAUUAUUAAAUCAAAAAUUAAAACUAAAGGAGAGAGCACUUAUUUCCAACAAUUUAUUGUGGUCUUGAGUGAACUCUUUAGAGGAUUACACCAAAAACUUCUUGAUUUUAUCAAAAAUUUGGUUCAAAUUUCAAGUAAAUGUCUGACUCAAUGGGGAAACCCAUUAAUAUUCUUGUUACUUUUUAGGUAAAGGGUAACUUUCGAGGUAGCAUUUCACUAUAAUUCGAUAUUUUCUUGAUCCAUUGUUUUGAUUUUUUAUUCCGUAUUCUCCGUUGUUUACUAUACUAUCGAUAUUUAUUCAUUUUAUAAAUAUCACCUUUUAAUCUCUCAUUUUACACUAUGCUUAGGUCAAUCAAUUCAUUAUCACUCAUUGAUAUUACUCAUAUUUGGUAAACAAUUCAUAGGAAGUGGACAUUUGAUUCAGUAAGUAGAAAGUGAAAUGCUCAACCAGUAAUGAGAUUUGCAUAUCCAUUUCUGAUGAAAGGAAAUGUAAAAUCAGUAGUAAAAAAUUUAGCUUUGAAAUUUAUAGAAAAUUGUAAAAUCAUUCAAAAUCAACAAGUCAAAAUUAUUCAUUUAAUUAGUUAAACAAUUUUGUUCUGAUGGUAAAUUUAUAAACCCAUCUUAGAGAUUAGAUUCCUAUUUUUAUUUAUACUAUUCUCAAACUUUGAAUUAUUUUCCAUCAUUAAAGAGUGAAUUAACCUGAAUCUGAAUGAUGUUAUUAGAGGCUCAGAUCUGCAAAAUCACUGUAUUAGUCCAGAACUCAAACAAAUCAUCAUCACUGCCUCUAUUGUUUAUGGAUCAAAGAUGAAACAAACACAGGUAUAAUUGGUACAUUUUUCCAAUUUCAACGAUGAAUCAAAAAGUUUGUAUAAUUAGAGGCUCAGAUGUGCAAAGAGAUCGAGGCAAAGAGAGAGGCGACCACGCCAUGGCUGCAAAAUCAGUGUGAUUUGCCAAGCCAAGAUACGGAUCAUAUAAUCUCAAUGCCUGAUGCGGUUAGCCCAGAAUCAUCAUCACUAUCAUCACUGCCUCAAUUGUUUGGAUCAAAGCUGAGAAAAUAAAACCAACAUAGAGAGAGUACAAAAACAGAAAGCCAGCCAGAAUAAUAAUUGCUAUAUAUAUAUAUAUAGUAGUAGUAGUACGUAUGUAUGUAUGUUUUCCUGGUUACAAUGAUUCAAUUAAUUUCCAGGAAAUUAAUAAGAAUCCAAGGGUUGUUGCUUCAUCUAUCUGGAAAAAAUCAUUGGUUAAACAAGAGAGGGGCAACCACCCUUGUAAUGAAAAUCCCAAAACUCUCUGUUUAGCCUUUCUGGGCUAACCUCUUCUUUGCCACUAUUUUCACUUGGCAGUUUUCUUGUGGUUUAUAUAACCCAAAAACUGUUCUAUGGAAGAAUCUAGAGGCAAUUUUUCAGACAUUUGGACCAAAUUUCAAGUAAAUGACUGACACCAUGUGGGACAUGUGUCCGUCAUUAAUAUUUUUCUCCCUCGUUGCUCAUUUUCCCAAAAGAGGUAAAUAAUUUCUUUAAUUUAACACUAGCACAAAGAGCAAAAAAUAAUCAAACCAAAACGGCAAUAUUUGAAUGGAAAAAAAAUGUUAGGUGUUGAUCACAAACUCGAUGACCAAGCACUUACGUGUUGAUUUCAUUGAAUCCUUCACCUGGACUCCAGUGUCUACAUCUUGUACAACUGCUUCCAAGGGACGAUCUCCCAGCCAAGGCAGCAACAAAGAGCAAAAAAUUUAGAAGAUAUGCACAAAGUUCAUUAAAACCAUGAGACAAAAAAAAAAAGUUUUAGACAGUACCAUUCAGCCAUGAUUCUUCCAACUUCAAGCUAAGUACUGCAAUGGAUGAGGAAGGCAACCACCAUCACAAAAAUCCCACAUUUCACUCAAAUGCCUCAUUCUUGAGCUAUUACGGAUAAAAGAUUGGCAACACAUUACGAGGGAACAGCAAUAUAACUUGUAUGCAAAAAGGUUCCAUAUACAAGCAAAAAAAAAAUAUACUUUCUUUAGCAAAAGGAGGCUCAGAUACAUGUAUGAUAAGGCAAAAGAGAAGUCAACCACGCCAUGGCUGCAAAACAUUGGUUGCGUGUGUGAGAAGAAAACUCUUAUCACAGGUAGCAUAAUGCCAGGUAGACACUUUUAGCGAUCACACCCAUACUGGAUUGCCACGCCAAGAUACGGAUUGGAUCGUCUCCAUGCCCAACUGGAUAGACCAGAGUUAAAAAAAGUUAUCAUCACUGCCUUUUUAUGAGUUUCCAAAGCCAUAAAGGACACAGACUGAAGAAACAAGGAAACUGAAGUAGUAUAGUUUUGUGUUUGGUUUUUGAGUAUGUAUAUCACAACAACAGGACCCAAAGAAACCAAGAAACUGAAGUGGAAUAUAUUUUCUCUUUUUUCUUUUCUUAAGGGCUGUUGGUUUGUUGAGAAGGGUAGAAUCAUAGGCAAAGUAGAGAGGGGCAACCACCCUUGAAAGAAAUCCCAUACUCUCUGCUGCCUCAUACUCGUCAUUCCUGCUAAAAGAAGGAAGUUCGUUUAGAUUAGAGCUUCUAACUGACGAGACGUCACAAGUCUGCAUUUAAGAGAAUUUAACUGCAAUAAUGUCCAAAUGCCUACUUAUGUUCUUCAACAAAUUGUGGCUCAGAUGUAUGUAAUGAUAUGGCAAAAGAGAAGCCAGUCUCGCCAUGGCUGCAAAACACCGACUGCAUGAGAGAAAGAGAGAAGUUCUCAACAGGCCAAACCGGGUUGCCACGCCAAGAUACGGGUCGGUUCAUCUCAAUGUUCCAUGAUCAGCCCAGAACUAGAAGAUACAUAAGCAUCAUCAUUAGCCCCUUUCUGUAGCAGAAUGCAUCGUAAUGGAACACUUUCCAGUUUUACACUAACAAUAAGAGAAAACGGGAAGAAAUAUGCAAAGAGCUAAGAGAAGAGAGACUGAAGAUCUGAAGGCGGCCUAAUUGUUGUGGUAAACUUGAAAAUUGGGGAAAUUUCAUCCAGAAAACCAGAGACUGAAGUACUAUGUUGCUCUUUUUUUCUCUUAAAGGCUGUUGGUUUGUUGAGAAGGGGAGAAUCAUAGGCAAAGCAGACAGGGGCAACCACCCUUGAAAGAAAUCCCAUACUCUCUCUGCAGCCUCAUUCUCUCUAUUUCUGGGCAAACCUAAUAGAUGGAAUUUGCUUGUAUGAGAGCUUAAAACGAGAAGACCUCAAUAUCUCCCACUUUGAUCAUGGAAAAGAUAUUGCCCCUUAUGCAUAGUAAAGGGGCAAAUUUGAUCAUUUUCCCUUUUUUUCUUUAGCAAAUUGAGGCUCAGAUUUGUGUAAUGACGAGGAAAAAGAGAAGCCAGCCAUGCCAUGGCUGCAACGCACGAUUGCAUGUGUGAGUUAUGCGUCUCAAUUACAGGCCAUACCGUGUUGUCAUGCCAAGGUACGGGUUGGGUACUCUCCAUGCCCGAAAUCUUGCUAGCCCAGAAAUCAUCACUGCCUCUUUAAUAGUUUUCAUAGUCAUUUUAUAGUUGUAGUAUAGUUGUGUAUACAUAUGUCUUAAGGGUGGUGCAAACUGCAAAUAAACCCAGAAACUCAAUUGUACUCUCUCUGUCUCUUUCUUUUGAAGGGCUGUUGGUUUGUUUUGAGAAAUGGAGAAUCAUAAGCAAAGCAUAGAGAGAAGGCCAACCACCCUUGAUAGAAAUCCCAUACUCUCUGCUGCCUCAUUCUUGCCUUUUAUAGGCUGACCUAACAAAAGGGAAUUCACAAGACUUCAAGCAUCUUUCGGCUAAUUCUUUCUCCUGAGGCUCAGAUUUGUUAUAAAACCAGAGAAAAGGAGACAAAGCAAUCGCCAUGGCUGGAGACCUCAGUUGUUAAGUGGAAUACCUUUACUGGGUAGCCCCGCCAAGAUACGUGCAGCUCCAAUGCCCAACCCAACUCUAUACAACUUCAUUUGUUAUUAUCACAGCCUCAUCCUAUAAUUAAAAGCUAGCAAGGGUACAUAGACCAUACCCCGAUCCUUUGUGGGGGACUAGAGAAGUUGUUUCCAACAGAGCUCAGCUCAAGAAAAUUACAGUCCAGAACCUAAAUGAUGGAAGAAAGAAAACAACAGAAACUAGUGUGUAAUUCAUCUCUCUCUUUCUCUAUUUUAAGGGCUGUUGGUUUGUUCAAAAAUGUAAGAAUCAUAGGCAAAGCAGAGAGAAGGGCAACCACCCUCUAAUAGAAAUCCCAUUACUGUCUCUGCUGCCUCAUUAGGGGCUAACCAAUCAAAAAGGGGCUCACAAGUAAUUACUUGCAAAAACGAAACAGGUCUUUUCCUUGAGGCUCAGAUCUGUGAGAUAAAAUCAAGCAAAAAGGAGACAAAAGCAACCACCAUGGCUGCAGAUCUCACUUUGCAAAACAAUGGAAAUGCCUUACCGGAUCGCCCAGCCAAGAUAUGUGCAAGCUCCAACAGGCCCGACCCAACACUAGACAACUUCAUUUGUCAUCAUCACAGCCUCAUAGGAAGGAGGAGACAGUAUACUUUAUAGCCCAACAGCACAUAAUAUAAGCCAGAAACCCAAAAACGCUCGAAAUACAUGUGAUUAGACCUUUUUCAACUAUGGUGGUUUUGGUGAAAUUUUGAAAAGGAAAUCAUCAGCGGAAGAACAGAGAGAGGACAACCACCAUUAAAGACUCCCCAAUGCCUCUCCGUUGCCUCGUUUGUUCGUCUAGAGUUGCAGAACACACUUACAUUAGGUCAUUUUUUGCCCAACUGCCUAAACAGUCUUUUAGCUUAAGAGGAAAAAAAUGUUUGAUUCUUCUUGCACAAACAACAAUCUUCAUUGACUCUAAAAAGUGGAACAGAGGGAGUAAUAAAUCAAUCAAUUAAGGGUGGUUUUGCAAUUGGAAACACUUCUAUUUGAAAGAUCAUUGGCAGCAGAGAAUGACAGAGAGGGGCAAAACCACCCAUGGAAACUCCCGACAGCUCUGUUUUAACCGCAACCUCAGAUUUAUACAAAGAUGAGUUCCCCAAAAAUGAGGCUCAGGUCUGUUACAUUCAGGGCAAAAAGAGAUCCAACGAUGCCAUGGCUGCAAAAAUCACCACAAAAUCUGGGGUUAUGCCCAGCCAAGAUAUGAGCCGGAUAAUCUCAAAUGUUCGAUUAAUAAGCUCAUAAGGAAAUGAAAGGUUGCUAAAAUCAUCAUUGCCUGUGUAAAUCCAUCAAUUAUACUAGCAUAACUUGUAUUUAAACCGAACGAAUCAAUAACAACUAGCUUGGAUGGUUAUUUCCCUAUUGUUACUUUAGAUAACGGGACCACAUAUUAUAGGUCUUCCAAAAAUAAAUUAUAUCGAUAUCAGUCAUUUUUUCCACUGGGCAGCAGAAAAUAUUAUUUGAGAAAGCAUAUUAAUUUAUAGAGUACCAAUUUAGAGAGGUUUUUACUGUAGUUUAUAUUCUCGGAGUCUUCCAAAUAGAGAGCAUCUUAGUAGUAAGUAUUUUAACUUCUCCUGAAAAGGGUAUGAAUUCAAUCUCCCACAUUUAUCAUGGAAUAUAUAUUGCCCCUUAUGCAUGGUGAAGUGGUAAAUUUGACCCUUUUCCCUAUUUUCUCAAGCAAAUUGAGACUCAGAUUUGUGUUCUGAUAAGGCAGAAGAGAAGUCAACCACGCCAUGGCUGCAACACACGAUUGCAUGAGCGAGUUAUGGGUCUCAAUUACAGGCCAUAUCGGGUUGCCACACCAAGAUACGCGGUGGGUAAUUUCCAUGCCCGAAAUUUAGAUAGCCCAGAAAUCAUCACUGUCUCUCUAAUAGUUUUCAUAGUCAUGCGGUUCUUUUAGUAUAGUUGUGGCAUUGCCUUGUGAAAGAAACCAUGAAACUCAAGUGUAUCACUGUCUCUUUCUUUUUUUAAGGGAAGUUGGUUUGUUUUGAGAAAUGGAGAAUCAUAGGCAAAGCAUAGAGAGAAGGGCAACCACCCUUGAUAAAAAUCCCAUACUCUCUAUUGCCUCAUUCUUGAUCUUGCCUUUUUUAGGCUAACCUAACAAAAGGUAAUUCACAAGACUUCAAGGUCUUUCAGCCUUUCUCCUGAGGCUCAGAUUCAUUAUAAAACUAGGCAAAAGGAGACAAACCAACCGCCAUGGCUGCAAAACAGAAUGCCUUUCUGGCUACCACACCAAGAUACGUGCAGCUCCAAUGCUCAACCCAACUCUGUACAACUUCAUUUGUUAUCAUCACAGCCUCAUCCUAUAAUUAAAAGCUAGCAAUGGUACCCUGGUCCUUUUUGGGGACUAGAGAAGUUUCCAAUAGACUCAGCUCAAUAAAAUCACCACGCAGAACCUAAAUGACUGGAAUAAAAAACAACAGAAACUAGUGUGAUCCAUCUUUUUCUCUUUUUCUAUUUUAAGGGCUGUUGGUUUGUUUAGAAAAUGGAAGAAUCAUAAGCAAAACAGAGAGAAGGGCAACACCCUUGAUUAGAAAUCCCGUAACUCUCUCUGCUGCCUCAUUCUGAGCUAAUCUAACAAAAAAGGGUUCACAAAUAAUUACUGAAAUGAUUUUUUCUUUUGAGACUCAGAUCUAUAAGAUAAAAUCAAGCACAAAGAGACAAAGCAAUCGCCAUGGCUGCAGACCUCAGUUUGCAAAACAAUGAAAAUGCCUUACCGGGUCGCCCCGCCAAGAUACGUGCAGCUGCAAUACCUGACCAAAAUCCAUUUGUCAUCAUUACAGCAUCAACAAGUGAAGAAGCAGAAGCAGUUUCCAAAAGGGUCUUUUUCUAUAGGUUCGGAUCUGCAACACAAGAUCGAGGGAAAAAGGAGACAAAGCAACCACCAUGGCUGCAGACCUCAGUUAGCAAAACAAUGGCUCCAAUAUGCCUGACCCAACUCUAGAAAACUUCAUUUGUCAUCAUUACAGCCUGAACAAGGAGUAGUAGUAUAGUGCGCCUAAAUUCAGUUAAUAUGGAGUAUAAUUUUAGCUAAACACCACACAAUUUAAGCCAAUCCAAACAAACCAUCAGCUGAAGAACAGCGAGAGGGCAACCACCAUUAAUAACUCCCCAAUGCCUCUCUCGUCGUCCAGAGUUUCAUUAACACAAACUUUGAUUUAGUACAUGUAGUAUCUUCCUGUUACAUUUCUACUUAGUCACAUUUCUAUUUUAAAAGUAUACCUAAUAAGUUUGAUAAUGCAUAUUUUCACUCUUAGAAUUCAUAGUUAGCAAAUAGAUAUAGCAAUUGUUCGGAGCUCAUUAAUAAUCAUCAGGUGUUGUAACUGAGAGCGUGUUUGUCUUUCUUUUGUUCAUAGUUUGAUAUUCUGAACAGUAAACAGAUAUCUUUUAUAAUGAGGUAGGAAGAAGGGGUGGAGUGUAGUAUGGUCAAGUGGCGGAAAUAUUGGAAGGAGACGAUCAACUUGAAAUAUUUUUUAUAAAACUUGUUUUCCCUACUUCCGUUAGAGAAUUGACUUGCUUCCAUUUUCUUUGAUAAAAUUAGCCUUGGUCACUACCUACAAGCUAUCUGUGUUCUUUGAUAAGAGAGCGAGUUGAGCUGAGGUUUUUACGGAUGAAGAACACCUGAAUCAGUAAGCUAGAGAGUAACAACUUGAAGAUUACUACACUAAGAACAGCUUGGUUCUAUUCAUCGGUUAAAUAACUUAGCAUGACAGCCUAGACACGACUAUUUACCGGUGAGCAAGGAACGAAUGCCACCAUUUCCAUGAUAACAUAAAACUAUUAACAUUCAUAUAUUGCUAAAAACUGCCCAUCACAAUGCUGCCUAAUUCAUAUUCUCCAGUGUUCUACUCUCGACGAAUUAUUCUCAGUUGAGUAAUCAACUAGGCUCAGAUAUGUCACGAAAUCGGGAAAAUGAAAGGGAUACCGCCAUAGCUGCAAACCAGAAUAGCAUACAACAACAAUCUAGUUGGAUAAGCUAAAUGAAUUCCUAAUAUCUCUUCCACUCAAUCACGUCCCAAUAGUCGUUGCACCAUUUAAAACACAGUUUAGUUAUCCUUACCAAGAUUUGGGUUUGAGCUGAGCAAAACCCGAUUAACUCAAUAAGCUCUAUAUCAUCACAGCCUACAGAUAAGCAGAAACAUAAGUAAUGAUGCUUACUUGCUGCAAACAGAGCUAGUAUUGACUGAGGAAAAAGGUACUGCAAAGCAAAUUGGACUUCAUUAAGGCUCAGAUAAGUAUAAUCGAGGCGAAGGAGACAAUGCACCCCCCAUGGCUGCAGACCUCAGUUGCACUACACAUAGGCCUACCGGGUUGCCAGGCCAAGAUACAGGUCCAGCUCCCUUGCCCCAUUAACUCCAAACACCUUAAUCUUAAUCAUCACAGCCUCUCAUCCGUAACAAAGUGGUAGGGUUGGAGAAGGUGAAAAUGACGACGACGAUGAAUGACGAUGAGUAAAACGAAGAACCAAAAGAGUCAGAUCUUAAACCUGAACCCUUCUUCCUGUAUAUUGUAUAUAUAUAGAGAGAGAGAGAGAUGAACAAUUAAUGUGUGUAUAUACACAUACUGCAGAAACUUCCGAGUUUAAGGCUCAGAUCUGUAUAAUCAGAGCAAAGGAGACAAUGCAUCCGCCAUGGCUGCAGACCUCGGUUUCACUGCCAAAAUGUCUACCGGGUUGCCCCGCCAAGAUACGGACCCUGCUCCUUUGACCCUAUGAACUCUAGACACCUUAAUCAUCAUAGCCUAUCUUCCCUUCCAUUACAACAACAAAAAUAAUAAUAAUAAUAAUAAUAACAACAACAACUUCAACCAUCGCGAAAACCCUUUUCAAGGAUUCACAGAUGAUGAUGAUGAUGAUGAGGAAAAAGAAGAAGAAGAAGAAACGGUAAAAGGGUCAAAUCUUAAACCCUAAACCUUCCUUCAAGUAUGAGAAUAUAUAUAUAUAUAUAGAUACAUAGAUGUACAUGUGUGUACACAUACACACUGCAAAAACUUGCGAUUUUUCAUCGGAAGUUUCAAUACAGCAGCAAAACCAAAGGACCCUUAAACAUAAAUGAUGGUUUGUUUGAAGUUUGCUUCGCGAAAAUGGAAAAAUCACCGGCAAACAGAGAGAGGGCAACCACCAUUAAAACUCCCCAAAUACCUCUCUGUUAGCCUCACUUUUUUUCUGUCUAGAGUUCAU